Molecule: long non-coding RNA, 1091 nt
Organism: Cyprinus carpio carpio
Lineage: Eukaryota; Metazoa; Chordata; Actinopteri; Cypriniformes; Cyprinidae
Source: Ensembl
UGACCUUUUAGAGGAAGCUUAUUUUAAAUCAAAUGCGCGCUGCAUGAUGUCUUCUGCAUUUUCUUACUGCCCCAGAUUUGUCACUUCCUGCUUCUGACUGUCAGCUUCCUGCAGUUCAUCUGCUUCCUUGUUGCAUUCUGAUAAGCAGACGUUGACCUUCAGUGCAGAAUAACAUUAGAAGAAUUUAUGAGACAACACUAGGCUGUAUGAAAUCGCACUGAAAAGUGUUUAGUGAGCUAUUAAAGCAUCACAUCAUUACAAGAGACGCUUUAAACAUCUACUGACCUAAAGGUCUCGUGAGAAAUCCUUUCUUCCCGCUCAUAUCCGUGUGUUAGAGUGGAAGCAGGCGUAUGCCGGUCACCGUUCCCCUGAGGUCAGGCUACACAGAUGAAAGACUCUUCCUGGCUGUUCUGAGAACAGUGCAUCCUGGGAAAAGAGAAGAAGACAUGGGAUCUGAGGAACUUCCAGUUCCAUUCCUUCAUUCGGUUUCUUCUGCUUCCUGCUUCCUCUGCUGCAACACUGUGGGCAAAAAGCUGAGAAAAUGACUACAUGCAGAUCAGAUUCACAUCGAUGAUCAAAAGAUGGAGUUGACUGCUUCCAUCUAAACCACUUCCUGGAUCGACAUUUCAUUCAUGAUAAUGUUAGGCAGGUUUGAUUUUGAAGUUGUUUAAUGCUUGAUGAUGGCAUUAUUCUACAUAUGCAUUUGCUUACAUACUUUCAGCCAUAGCUGCUUUCUGCUUCUUCUUCACCUGGUUUUAAUCCAGAGAUUCAGUACUCUUUCAGAAGAUGUGUAAUAGCGCCUCCUACCAUAUAACAGUGUGCUUUUUCUACCCACUCACUAUUAGUGUAUUGUUAAAGUCACAGUGAAACUGAAAUAGUGUCUGAAAUCUUUUCUUCUAUAUUGUGACGUACAUAUGAGUGUAAUGGAUUAUCAAAAAUGACUAAAUGUAGGGCAGGAAUCGGCUCUCUGAUAUCCCCCUUGAAUCAGACUCCUUCUCCUGAAUAUUGUUGUUUCAUUAAACUGUUAUGAGAACAUUAAUGAUGUCUGCUAUGUUUGGUUCUGUUCUGUUUCUGUUUAUUGCUGCAGUGAG